Long non-coding RNA from Sinocyclocheilus grahami, 278 nucleotides. RefSeq lists it as uncharacterized. The record is from RefSeq and is a predicted model, not a curated record. The transcript has 3 exons. Lineage: Eukaryota; Metazoa; Chordata; Actinopteri; Cypriniformes; Cyprinidae.
UUGGGUGGGACAGUCACACACAGCGGAAGCGGCGGCUCUCAGCGUCGACAUAUUCAUUUUGCCUGCAAGAUUUGGGACAUAUUGCGCCAAAAUGCCGGCUUACCACUCAAGCCUGAUGGAUGCAGACACCAAACUGGUGGGGAAUAUGGCAUUGCUGCCUCUCAAAACACAGUUUAAGGGUCCUGCUCCUAAAGAAACCAAAGACACAGAUAUUAUCGAUGAGGCCAUCUACUACUUCAAAGCCAAUGUUUUCUUCAAGAACUAUGAAAUUAAGGUAA